Long non-coding RNA from Wasmannia auropunctata (little fire ant), 1221 nucleotides. RefSeq lists it as uncharacterized. The transcript has 2 exons. The record is from RefSeq and is a predicted model, not a curated record. NCBI's taxonomy places the organism in Eukaryota, Metazoa, Arthropoda, Insecta, Hymenoptera, Formicidae.
CUCUUGAACGGACACACGUUACAUAAUUAUAACGAAAUCAAAGAGAAGCAAGUAUAAUAAUUCUGUGAAAUCAUAUGGACUCAUAUACUAAAUGCUGUUUAAAGGCUUUUACAAGCGUGCAUAUCAAUAAAUCUAAAGUUAAUAGUAAUGAUUACAUCUCCUUGUAUAAUGAUGAUUUCCAACUUGGUGUUUAGAAAUCUAAUGGAAUUAUUAAAAAUAUAUGCAGAGACAAACAGUGAGGAGGAGAUUGUUUAGUGCUAGUGAAGAAACUAACUACGAUCUAUUAUAAUUAUUGACGACCAUCUACUAACUCUACCAACUAUUGACACACGUGAAUCAUAAAAGUCUAGCAUGAUAAUUGAAAAGAUAUUGCAACAAAAUGUCUACCGAUGAUUCAACUAAACAAGAAUCUAUGAAGAAACAUUACUGCAAUCUACUGCAAAAAAAAAAAAACAGAAAAAAAGUAAGAAAUCUUGGAUUAGAAAGAAUAUCUGAUGAUGAAUUAGGUCACUCGCACUACACUGGAUUAGUGCACUGAUUAAAGGUUACUAAAUAGCAAUGGUAUAUAAUAUAAUCAAUUUUAACAAUAAAAGAAAUACAUACAUGCUUUCAUUAAAUAACGUGGCAAUCUCAUUAUUGAAUAUUCAAUUGUUAAAAAUAAUUAUCUGCAUUAUCUUUUACAUUUAAUUUCACUAAUUUUUACGUAUAGCAGCUUUAAGUAUGCAUUAAUCUAGUAUAGUGCAAGUGACCGAAAACUUUACUAUGAGAAAUUCAUAAUUAGAAAAUUUUGAAUUUUUUAGAAACUUUCAAGAAAAGAUUCAAUGAUAUAUGUAUGAGAAAUAAAAACUUUAAGAUGCUAAAAAAUGAAAAAAAUGAGUGAAAAAAGACUGAACUGAAACAUGGACUACAUGGAAUAAAGAAAUUUGCAGAAAAACUAGAGAAAAGAAAACUACAUGAUAUGACGAGUGUCUGUGUAAAAGCACAUUCUGCAAAUAAAAUAUGAAAUAUAAAUGCACGCCAAACAAUCUCUUUGACAAGAAUAAUGAUACAUUAAAAAUAUGACAAAAGAAGAUUUAUGACAAAGAAGGAUAACAAUAUCAUGUGUUAUCUUAUAUACAUAUAGUCAAUUAGAAAAUUACAGAGUAGCAUAUUGAUAGUUUCUUGUAAAAAAUUUGUAUCGCAUUGUAAAUAUUAAUAUAUGAGUUUUAGCGAUGAAAAAAA